This 513-nucleotide ribosomal RNA is filed under the name uncultured bacterium. RNAcentral describes it as "partial 16S ribosomal RNA". It matches the Rfam family "Bacterial small subunit ribosomal RNA", at positions 28 to 523 of the family's 1533-position model. The record is from RNAcentral.
GACGAACGCUAGCGGCAUGCCUAAUACAUGCAAGCCGAGCGAACAGAUGAAGUGCUUGCACUUCUGACGUUAGCGGCGAACGGGUGAGUAACACGUAAGGAAUCUACCUAUAAGCGGGGGAUAACAUUCGGAAACGGGUGCUAAUACCGCAUAAUAUCUUCUUCCGCAUGGAAGAAGAUUGAAAGACGGCUCUGCUGUCACUUAUAGAUGACCUUGCGGUGCAUUAGUUAGUUGGUGGGGUAAUGGCCUACCAAGACGAUGAUGCAUAGCCGACCUGAGAGGGUGAUCGGCCACAUUGGGACUGAGACACGGCCCAAACUCCUACGGGAGGCAGCAGUAGGGAAUCUUCCGCAAUGGGCGAAAGCCUGACGGAGCAAUGCCGCGUGAGUGAAGAAGGCCUUCGGGUCGUAAAACUCUGUUAUAAGAGAAGAACAAAUUGUAGAGUAACUGCUACAGUCUUGACGGUAUCUUAUCAGAAAGCCACGGCUAACUACGUGCCAGCCGCCGCGGUAA